UGGGGAAUAUUGCACAAUGGGCGCAAGCCUGAUGCAGCAACGCCGCGUGAACGAUGAAGGUCUUCGGAUCGUAAAGUUCUGUUGCAGGGGAAGAUAAUGACGGUACCCUGUGAGGAAGCCCCGGCUAACUACGUGCCAGCAGCCGCGGUAAUACGUAGGUGGCAAGCGUUGUCCGGAAUUAUUGGGCGUAAAGCGCGCGCAGGCGGACUAGCCAGUCAGUCUUAAAAGUUCGGGGCUUAACCCCGUGAUGGGAUUGAAACUACUAGUCUAGAGUAUCGGAGAGGAAAGUGGAAUUCCUAGUGUAGCGGUGAAAUGCGUAGAUAUUAGGAAGAACACCAGUGGCGAAGGCGACUUUCUGGACGAACACUGACGCUGAGGCGCGAAAGCCAGGGGAGCGAACGGG
This 403-nucleotide ribosomal RNA is filed under the name Verrucomicrobiota bacterium. RNAcentral's name for it is "Verrucomicrobia bacterium partial 16S ribosomal RNA". It matches the Rfam family "Bacterial small subunit ribosomal RNA", at positions 355 to 776 of the family's 1533-position model. The record is from RNAcentral. Lineage: Bacteria; Pseudomonadati; Verrucomicrobiota.